RNAcentral lists this ribosomal RNA (253 nucleotides) under uncultured bacterium. RNAcentral describes it as "partial 16S ribosomal RNA". It matches the Rfam family "Bacterial small subunit ribosomal RNA", at positions 524 to 776 of the family's 1533-position model. The record is from RNAcentral.
UACGGAGGGUGCGAGCGUUGUUCGGAAUCACUGGGCGUAAAGGGCGUGUAGGCGGUCCGCUAAGUCUGAUGUGAAAGCCCGGGGCUCACCCCCGGAAGUGCAUUGGAAACUGGCGGACUCGAGUCCCGGAGAGGAGAGUGGAAUUCCUGGUGUAGCGGUGAAAUGCGCAGAUAUCAGGAAGAACACCCGUGGCGAAGGCGGCUCUCUGGGACGGUACUGACGCUGAGACGCGAAAGCGUGGGGAGCGAACAGG